CGCAGGAUGAUGAAAAGGAAGUUUGAACAUACUUUCACUUUCUAAGCGCAAGAACAAGAGAGGAAAGCCAUGGCUGACAUGGUCCUGAAGUCAAAAAGGAAGGUGUUUAUCCAAUCAGUGAGUAUCGGCACAAUAAACAGCUUAUUGGAUGAACUAUUAGACAAAAAUGUGCUGAAUCAGGAGGAGAUGGAGACAGUAAAAUAUGAAAAUUACACAGCUAUGGAUAAGGCCCGAGAUUUGAUUGACUCCGUCAUUCGGAAAGGACACCAUGCAAGCCAAAUAUUUAUCAUUCAAAUUAAUGCAUGUGACCCCCACCUUGAAAAGAAGCUGGGGCUCUCCUCAGACAUGGCUGGACCAGCUGAGGCAGCAGAAGAAUCUACAGAUACCCUCAAGCUUUGUCCUCGUGAAGCAUUCCUGAAACUAUGUAAAGAAAGGGCUGGAGAGAUCUAUUCAAUAAAGGAGAGAAAGGACCGCACUCGUCUGGCUCUCAUCAUAUGCAACAGAGAGUUUCAUCAUCUUCCUAGGAGGGAAGGGGCUGAGCUUGACAUCACAGGGAUGAAGGGGCUGCUUGAGGGCCUUGGCUACAGUGUGGAAGUGCAAGAGAACCUCACAGCCAAGGAGAUGGAGUCAGUGCUGGAGUCAUUUGCUGCCCGCCCAGAGCAUAAGUCCUCAGACAGCACAUUCUUGGUGUUCAUGUCUCAUGGCAUCCUGGCAGGAAUUUGUGGGACUCUGCACAGAGAUGAAGAACCAGAUGUGCUGCCUUAUGACACCAUCUUUCGGAUGUUCAACAACUGCCACUGCCUCAGCCUAAAGGACAAACCAAAGGUCAUCAUUGUCCAGGCCUGCAGAGGUGCAAAUCGUGGGGUAUUGUGGGUCAGUGACUCUCCAGCAGCCUUGGCAGACAGCUCUUCACAGCCACAUGAGGACCUGGAGGAGGAUGCGGUUCACAGAGCACAUGUGGAGAAGGACUUCAUUGCUUUCUGCUCCUCAACCCCACAUAAUGUAUCCUGGAGAGACAUAAAAAAAGGUUCCUUCUUUAUUUCACAACUAAUCACAUGCUUUCAGAAAUAUUCUUGGUGCUGUCACCUUGAGGAAGUGUUUCGGAAGGUACAACGGUCAUUUGAACAACCAGAUGUUAAAGCCCAGAUGCCCACCAUUGAACGAUUAUCCAUGACAAGAUAUUUCUACCUGUUUCCUGGCAAUUGAAAAUAGUAAAUAUCAGAGCUGUUGGCAGUCCUGGUAACUGAAAAUAGUAACUGUUACAGUUGUUGGCAGGUGAAUUAAGUGAAAGAGUAAUAUUGGUAGUGAUGUCCAAUGUCAAAAGAUAGCCAAUUGCUUGUGUGGUCAAAUUAGUGUUACUUGUUUGUAUAGUUUGGCAAUUAGUUUUUUUUUUUGUUAUUGUUGUUCUACAUAUACCCAUCUGGAUCCUCCUCCAUCUCUACAAUGAAUUAAUCAAUUUGCCAGUCCAUCAAGGAGAUAAGCCUGAUGAUGGCAGAAAGCAAUAAACAAUGAAGGACACAGGUUGUCCCAUUUUUCCUCCAUGCCAAAAUGUAAUGGGCUGGAGGAGAAUGAGAGUGGGGAACAUGACAGAGACAAAUUGAGAAACAUGGUGAAAAUCCUGAUCACGUGGGCCUUGGUGAUCACAUGGAAAUUAAAGUCACCCAGCCCUUCUUUAUCAAUUUCCAGAAGCACCUUUACCAAUACCGCACACAUAUUUAACCUCUAUAUUUAAAUAAAAAUGAAAACAAAUAAACUGUA
This is an RNA transcript of Phyllostomus hastatus (greater spear-nosed bat), 1758 nucleotides long. It is a transcript of the gene named caspase-13-like, with no coding region annotated. NCBI's taxonomy places the organism in Eukaryota, Metazoa, Chordata, Mammalia, Chiroptera, Phyllostomidae. The transcript has 10 exons. The record is from RefSeq and is a predicted model, not a curated record.